CGCAGACCCCACGACUGUGAGCUCCAGGGUCGGGGGGCCCCGGUUCCCGAAGGAGAAUCUGCACCGCCAGGACACACAGGAACCCCCCCGACCGACCGCAGGUUUCCCCUGUUUACAGGUUAGCGCUUCGCACUCGCAUAAAGGCUCACAGAGCAUCUAUCACCCUUGCCUGUGACACAGACCUGCCAGCAAACGGAUCACGGCGGUGGCGCUCCUCCUAGUCUGAGUUGUUGGUACCGUUCCCACGAUUAACAUAGUCCGCUGUGCAGGAACCGGGAGGAAGCCUGAAACAUAAGGAAUUGAGACCCCGGCCUAGGCCGUCGCAGGACAUCCCUCCAGAACAGGAAGGCUGGGAAGUUGUCCCUUCUCUGCAUUUGAAAAUCCUACCUGCAGGCAAGCAGUUUACCAGUGAAGAGACUGCUUUGCUGGGUUUUCAGACACAUUUCUCCUACCUGAGCUGGGAUUUCUCCACAAAGAUCUUCUGAGAAAGAAACAGAGGAGAAGAUGAAAGAAGAAAUGGCCAGUUCUCAGGUAAGCCCUGUGCCCCUCACUCUAAGCCUGUUGUCUUUUUCUCCAGAAAUUUCAUGCAUGUAGAAAUUGUGGGGACCUGGGUGUCUCUGCCAGUUGAGC
This 630-nucleotide long non-coding RNA is filed under the name Suricata suricatta (meerkat). RNAcentral's name for it is "lncRNA (ENSSSUG00005002348.1)". Lineage: Eukaryota; Metazoa; Chordata; Mammalia; Carnivora; Herpestidae. The record is from RNAcentral.